GACGAACGCUGGCGGCGUGCUUAACACAUGCAAGUCGAACGGUAAGGCCCUUCGGGUACGACGAGUGGCGAACGGGUGAGUAACACGUGGGUGAUCUGCCCUGUACUUCGGGAUAAGCCUGGGAAACGUGGGUCUAAUACCGGAUAUGACCAAGGACUGCAUGGUUUUUGGUGGAAAGCCUGUGUUGUAAUAGGCACUGUGCGGUACAGGUUGGGCCCGCGGCCUAUCAGCUUGUUGGUGGGGUAANGGCCUACCAAGGCGGCGACGGGUAGCCGGCCUGAGAGGGCGACCGGCCACACUGGGACUGAGACACGGCCCAGACUCCUACGGGAGGCAGCAGUGGGGAAUAUUGCACAAUGGGCGGAAGCCUGAUGCAGCGACGCCGCGUGGAGGAUGACGGCCU
Molecule: ribosomal RNA, 403 nt
Filed under: uncultured bacterium
Lineage: Bacteria
Description: bacterial SSU rRNA
Rfam family: Bacterial small subunit ribosomal RNA
Source: RNAcentral